RNAcentral lists this ribosomal RNA (460 nucleotides) under uncultured bacterium. RNAcentral describes it as "partial 16S ribosomal RNA". It matches the Rfam family "Bacterial small subunit ribosomal RNA", at positions 338 to 795 of the family's 1533-position model. The record is from RNAcentral.
CCUACGGGCGGCAGCAGUGAGGAAUAUUGGUCAAUGGGCGGAAGCCUGAACCAGCCAAGUCGCGUGAGGGAUUAAGGCCCUGCGGGUCGUCAACCUCUUUUGCCGGGGAGCAGAGGUCCGGACGUGUCCGGGCCGGGAGAGUACCCGGAGAAAAAGCAUCGGCAAACUCCGUGCCAGCAGCCGCGGUAAUACGGAAGAUGCGAGCGGUAUUCGGAUUUAUUUGGUUUAAAGGGUGCGUAGGCCGGCAUUUAAGCCGGCGGUCAAAUGUCGGGGCUCACCCCCGGCCUGCCGUCGGAACUGGGUGCCUUGAGUGGGCGAGAAGAAUGCGGAAUGCGUGGUGUAGCGGUGAAAUGCAUAGAUAUCACGCAGAACCCCGAUUGCGAAGGCAGCAUACCGGCGCCCUACUGACGCUGAGGCACGAAAGUGCGGGUAUCGAACAGGAUUAGAUAGCCUUGUAGUC